CAGUAGCCGCGGGAAUACGGAGGGAGCUAGCGUUGUUCGGAAUCACUGGGCGUAAAGCGCACGUAGGCGGCUAUUCAAGUCAGGGGUGAAAGCCCGGGGCUCAACCCCGGAACUGCCUUUGAAACUAGAUAGCUUGAAUCUUGGAGAGGCGAGUGGAAUUCCGAGUGUAGAGGUGAAAUUCGUAGAUAUUCGGAAGAACACCAGUGGCGAAGGCGACUCGCUGGACAAGUAUUGACGCUGAGGUGCGAAAGCGUGGGGAGCAAACAGGAUUAGAUACCCCUGUAGUCCCUGUCUCUUAUAC
Molecule: ribosomal RNA, 301 nt
Filed under: uncultured bacterium
Lineage: Bacteria
Description: partial 16S ribosomal RNA
Rfam family: Bacterial small subunit ribosomal RNA
Source: RNAcentral